GACGAACGCUGGCGGCGUGCUUAACACAUGCGAGUCGAACGGAAAGGCCCUGCUUUUGUGGGGUGCUCGAUUGGCGAACGGGUGAGUAACACGUGAGUAACCUGCCCUUGACUUUGGGAUAACUUCAGGAAACUGGGGCUAAUACCGGAUAGGAUCUCCUGCUGCAUGGUGGGGGUUGGAAAGUUUCGGCGGUUGGGGAUGGACUCGCGGCUUAUCAGCUUGUUGGUGGGGUAGUGGCUUACCAAGGCUUUGACGGGUAGCCGGCCUGAGAGGGUGGCCGGCCACAUUGGGACUGAGAUAGGGCCCAGACUGCUACGGGAGGCAGCAGUGGGGAAUAUUGCACAAUGGGCGGGAGCCUGAUGCAGCAACGCCGCGUGCGGGAUGACGGCCUUCGGGUUGUAAACCGCUUUCGCCUGUGACGAAGCGUGAGUGACGGUAAUGGGUAAAGAAGCACCGGCUAACUACGUG
RNAcentral lists this ribosomal RNA (468 nucleotides) under uncultured bacterium. RNAcentral's name for it is "partial 16S ribosomal RNA". It matches the Rfam family "Bacterial small subunit ribosomal RNA", at positions 28 to 507 of the family's 1533-position model. The record is from RNAcentral.